This 930-nucleotide long non-coding RNA is filed under the name Phoenix dactylifera (date palm). RNAcentral describes it as "long non-coding RNA (PDAC_LNC016986)". The record is from RNAcentral. Lineage: Eukaryota; Viridiplantae; Streptophyta; Magnoliopsida; Arecales; Arecaceae.
GUCUAACACUAAGAGACUGCAAUUCCUUAAUACGGAUCAUUACGUAACCCCAAAUUUGAAAUUCUUCGGUAUGCUUGUGGAAAUCAGCUUGCGCCUUAGAUUGCGCAGUACAUGCAUGAAUGCUCUUAUGGAUUUUCUGAUGCAACUCAUGGAUGUGCUGUGUUAGUGCAUGUGCAGACUCGAAAAUCGUAAUAUGGGGUGACAUGGACAAGGAAUCUAGAAAUUUCUUAGCUUUGUAACCAUGCACUACACUCAUGGUAGACUAGGCAAACUUUCUCUCUAAAGGUGCAAAUGAUAUAGGCAUAGUGCGAAUGCAUCCUAGAGUAGCAGGUCCUUUAUCAACCUCUUCCUCAAUGUCCCGAAUGUCAUCGAAAUUUGGUUCGUAGACUUGCCCUUCCAAGUCAUUUGUAUCAUUUCAAAUCUUGUUGAUCAAUAACUAGAGUCUUAUUGGCACAUUGGGAGGCAACGUGACCGAAACCCUGAUAUUUAUAGCACUGAAUUCUAGAGGUUGGCUUUGGGGGUUCAUCGAAGAUUCCCUUUCCUUUGGUGUCCCGAUUUGUGGUAGAGGCAGUAGGAGGGGGUCUAGGGGCAGAGGACCCUACAGAAGGUUUGGACCCUGAAGAAUUGGGCCCAUAGAAGUACUUCGUGUGUUAGGGCGCCUUACAAAUAUGGACUUAGUAACAUGCUCGUAGUUCCGCACAAUUGCAUAGGUCUGGUCUAAUGUGGACACUUCUCGGAGGACAAGUUCCUUCUGAAAUUCAUCAUUGAGACCUCUAUGGAACCGACUUAGGACCAUUCUCUCAUCCUCAAUCACAUUACAUUGCAUCAUAUAUUCAUCAAAUUGUGCGAUGUAGUCAGUGGCUGAUUGAGUACCUUGUCGUAAAUUGUUCCAUCGGUCCAGGAGAUCAUCUUGGUAAUUAAGGGACAAGU